Molecule: long non-coding RNA, 567 nt
Organism: Apis florea (little honeybee)
Lineage: Eukaryota; Metazoa; Arthropoda; Insecta; Hymenoptera; Apidae
Source: RefSeq, a predicted model, not a curated record
GCAAUAAUAAAAUAAAUUAAUAAAAUAAAAUAAAAUAUUCUUAAAUAAUUAUUUUAAAUGAUAAUAUAAAUAUUAUAAUAAAUAAAGAUCUCUCUAGAAUCGUAAUUAUCUCUCAUCACAUUUGAAAUUGUGCGCUAUAUUAGCCUUUUGCGCAUGCGUUUCCUUUAAUUUGCGACAGUACUGAUUCAAUUUGAAUAGUUCAAAUCAGUUGGAAACGAACUGCGAUAGUGACAAGUACGAAAGUAAAGAGGAUCACUUUUCAGAAACGGUUAAAAGAAACGAUUUGAAGACGAUAGUUAACCUUUAUGAUCACAUGAGGACAGAAGAGUGUGUGGAACAUUCGAGAAAUUGAAGCAAAAAAAAAGAAAGUAAAAAACGUAAACAAUUAGCGGUUGUUGAAGAGAGAGCUGUAUUAGAGAAAAAGUCAGCAAUAUAAACAAAUCGUAAACGGGACAUACGAAAGGUAACGCGAAGGUAAAAAUAAUAAUAAUUACCAACGGUAAUAGUCGAUAAAGAAGAAUCAAGAAUCAUAGGUAAGUUUAUUUCAGUCAAUUAAUGGUGCAAAUA